This 525-nucleotide ribosomal RNA is filed under the name Bifidobacterium breve. RNAcentral describes it as "bacterial SSU rRNA". It matches the Rfam family "Bacterial small subunit ribosomal RNA", at positions 155 to 690 of the family's 1533-position model. Lineage: Bacteria; Bacillati; Actinomycetota; Actinomycetes; Bifidobacteriales; Bifidobacteriaceae. The record is from RNAcentral.
AACGGGUGGUAAUGCCGGAUGCUCCAGUUGAUCGCAUGGUCUUCUGGGAAAGCCUUUGCGGCAUGGGAUGGGGUCGCGUCCUAUCAGCUUGAUGGCGGGGUAACGGCCCACCAUGGCUUCGACGGGUAGCCGGCCUGAGAGGGCGACCGGCCACAUUGGGACUGAGAUACGGCCCAGACUCCUACGGGAGGCAGCAGUGGGGAAUAUUGCACAAUGGGCGCAAGCCUGAUGCAGCGACGCCGCGUGAGGGAUGGAGGCCUUCGGGUUGUAAACCUCUUUUGUUAGGGAGCAAGGCAUUUUGUGUUGAGUGUACCUUUCGAAUAAGCACCGGCUAACUACGUGCCAGCAGCCGCGGUAAUACGUAGGGUGCAAGCGUUAUCCGGAAUUAUUGGGCGUAAAGGGCUCGUAGGCGGUUCGUCGCGUCCGGUGUGAAAGUCCAUCGCUUAACGGUGGAUCCGCGCCGGGUACGGGCGGGCUUGAGUGCGGUAGGGGAGACUGGAAUUCCCGGUGUAACGGUGGAAUGUG